Acanthosepion pharaonis is the source of this 96-nucleotide non-coding RNA. The record is from the annotation of a GenBank genome assembly. Lineage: Eukaryota; Metazoa; Mollusca; Cephalopoda; Sepiida; Sepiidae.
AAAACAUUGGUUCUCAUAAGAGCACCAAAGUUAAGCAAUAUUGAGACUGGUCAGUACCUAGAUGGGUGACAACUUGGAAAUACCAGGUGCUGUAAU